This 296-nucleotide long non-coding RNA is filed under the name Coturnix japonica (Japanese quail). RNAcentral's name for it is "lncRNA (ENSCJPG00005014670.1)". Lineage: Eukaryota; Metazoa; Chordata; Aves; Galliformes; Phasianidae. The record is from RNAcentral.
UAUUUCACAGACCAGUACUGUGAAAAACAUGCUGAAUGCAACAGAGAAAUGAAGAGAUGCGCUACUGCUGUCUUGAAAGAUACACAUGCUCAGCAUUUGUCUGCAGAGGUUUUCAACUUGCCCUGAAACUCCAUCCUGGCAAAACGUCUGACACACAUCCCAGAGCACUUCAGUUUAAGAAAACAGCUCUUCUGUCCUUUCAUUUACACCUACCAAAAGCAGCUGCCAACCACUUUCCAAAGAUGUUGACAGAGUAUUAAGCCUGUAGUUGCAAAUUCCAGUAACUUAAACAUGAG